UGAGAAGAUCAUGCUCAAGCUAGUCUGCUGGUCACAGAAGGAGGGUAAGGGUCAGGUGGAGAGGAGGCCUAGACCCCUAGCCAAGCACGGUCUAGAUUAGACAACAGACCCGACUUCACCCUUAUCCAACCCAGACAAGUGCUUGGAGAAAGUGUCCUCUGCACCCCCAGGAUUUUUGGAACUGCUGCUACCAUCUUGGAACCAUGAGGGAAGCCAACAAGAGGACAAAACAAUACUCUGAGUUAGACAUAUGGAGAAGCCAUCCCAUAGCAAGCCCUUGGAGCUGCCCUAACUUGGAGCUACUUGUUACAUCUCUUUGCUAUUUAGACCACGUUUCCUUGCAGUUUCUGUGCCUUACAGCACAAUUCUUCCUAAAUGAUUCAGAUACUUCCUCAGAAGAGGAAAAUCCAAGUGAAGGAGAAGGAUGUGUUGAUUAUCUUUUCUUUCUUUUGGUUUUACCAAGUGAUUCGUCACUGGCGCAAAGACUCUAACAAAAUCUUUAAAGAUGGGGUUAAAAAUGGCUGUUCCAAUGGAUGCCUCUUAGAUUUGAUUUUGAGGGUUUUCACCAUGGCUACAAUCUAUUAUGAGAUGACUUCUGGCCUCACCACUGUGACUCUGUGACACUUUGCCCAGUCAUAUGAGGACCCCUUGAGGACAACUUCAGAACCUUGGGCAGAUUGGCAAACACAGGAAGUAUUCCAACAAGCGUGGAGUUCCUUGGUGAUGGUCCCUCCAUCCAAGGAGAGACUCCUGGGUCUAUGACCCUUGAGACGCUUGACCUGGCGAAGGUGAAGUUGACCCUUUUUAAAUCGUGGCAGCUAAAUUAUAAAAAGCAAGUUCAAUCCACAAGAAUGAUCCUUCUCCAGCACGUGAGCAUAUGAUACAUUUGCUCAGUAUGAUACAUUUCACCUCAGUAAGUAGCAUCUUCAGAAAACACAUUAAAACGGUCAUUAGACUUUAUCGAAACUUGCUGAUAAUUUAGGUAACUUGACUACCUCCCCCUCCUCCCAUGCUGUGCUCAGCAGAAACCAGCUCUUGCCAAAUUAUCAUUCAUUUUAUUAAAACAACACUUCAGGUGGCUCUCUGGACUUGCCAGACUUUCUCCCAGCCCUGGACCACUGCCCUUGCUCUUGCUUUCCCCCUGGAAUAUCUGUCUCCCAUCACGGCAAAAUGGCAAAGUGCCUGGCAAACUCCUCACCAUCUGGCAAUGCAAAAUUCUGAUGUCGGUUCCUCUCCAAAGCAUCACCUGGACCCCUGAGACAACGCAGCAUGAAGGGUGGUUGAAGUCGGGCCCACCUGAUUUGAGAUCCAGCUCUGUCCCCAGUUAGUGAGGUGACCUCAGCAGAGAAACCCAGCUUUUCUGAGCCAGGCCUCAGCUCCUUGUCCUGUAAAGUAGCACCACAAUUGCCCCUGCUUGGAGCUCGUGUG
Molecule: long non-coding RNA, 1428 nt
Organism: Callorhinus ursinus (northern fur seal)
Lineage: Eukaryota; Metazoa; Chordata; Mammalia; Carnivora; Otariidae
Source: RefSeq, a predicted model, not a curated record